GUAGGUGGCAAGCGUUGUCCGGAAUUAUUGGGCGUAAAGCGCGCGCAGGCGGUUCUUUAAGUCUGAUGUGAAAGCCCACGGCUCAACCGUGGAGGGUCAUUGGAAACUGGAGAACUUGAGUACAGAAGAGGAAAGCGGAAUUCCACGUGUAGCGGUGAAAUGCGUAGAGAUGUGGAGGAACACCAGUGGCGAAGGCGGCUUUUCUGGUCUGUAACUGACGCUGAGGCGCGAAAGCGUGGGGAGCAAACAGGGAUUAGAUACCCUGGUAGUCCACGCCGUAAACGAUGAGUGCUAAGUGUUAGGGGGUUUCCGCCCCCUUAGUGCUGCAGCUAACGCAUUAAGCACUCGCCUGGGGAGUACGGCCGCAAGGCUG
Molecule: ribosomal RNA, 373 nt
Filed under: uncultured organism
Description: partial 16S ribosomal RNA
Rfam family: Bacterial small subunit ribosomal RNA
Source: RNAcentral